AAGUCGUAACAAGGUAUCCGUAGGUGAACCUGCGGAUGGAUCAUUAACACUUUCCAAAAACAACUGAGUUCUACACCAUGGCUAGCGUCAUUGUUGUAGGCUUGGUUUUCAAACCCAAAUCAGCGAACUUGUCAACGGCAUAGCAUGUUUGUUUGAUUGUUUCAAACAAACAAACAAACACAAAGUUAUGUCCGUUCGUUUUCUCCUUGUCAAUUUUACUUUUAUUAUUCAACACUCUUUUUUUCUUUUCCUUCAUUGGAUGGAAAAAAGCAGCGUCAAACGAAAUAACUUGACUAAGAAGAAAAAAAAUCCCACGUUUAAUGAACAUUAAAUGAGGGAAAAAGAAAAAAAUAAACAAAAAAAUACAACUCUUAACAACGGAUAUCUUGGCUCUC
RNAcentral lists this unclassified non-coding RNA (395 nucleotides) under fungal sp. RNAcentral describes it as "partial internal transcribed spacer region". The stretch from base 1 to 46 matches the Rfam family "Eukaryotic small subunit ribosomal RNA", at positions 1786 to 1831 of the family's 1831-position model. The record is from RNAcentral. Lineage: Eukaryota; Fungi.